AUGAUGGCGAACCACAAGCCGCUCGUGUGUGCAGUGCCUCUAACUGCCCGCCCCAAGUCGGUGGAGGUCAAGCUCUUCAAAGGCUUCUACGACGUGCGUGUCCAGGGCGUGGGCGGCGAGCGCGGCUUCUACCGCAUCCCCAUGAACCCCGCCGGCUCGCCCAAGCUCAUCGUCGCCAACCUCGCCACCUGCUCCAUCGGCUUCCUCGACAGGGUGGCGACGGUGGAGCCUUCCCACACGCCCUUCACGGACGCCGAGGUCAUCUGCAACGACUUCCGUGGCCGCGCCUUCACCCCGGGCUACGACGGCGAAGACCAGGUCAUGCAAGCCGUGGAGCGCUUCGACAAUGGCCUUCCACCCAUCCUUGACACGCUGCCGCUGCCUAUCACCGGCGUCGUCCAGGAGGGGCAGCCCGAGCCCCCGCAGCUAUCUCCUCCACCCCUCGGCAUGCCCGUCAACCUCCCUCCCCGGGCUGCUUCACCGAAGAUCUUCUACACCCGCCGCAGUGCAUGUAUCAAGGAGGGUGAGAACCCAAACCGCAUGACAAUGCUCGAGAAGGCCACCAUCAGAAAGAAGCUCAACCUGGAGGGCAAAACGGCUGUCUCGAGCUCGGCGCUCCUGCUGCCCGCGGCUAAGCUGCUGGAGCUCGCUGCGGACGGCAGGCCCCGUGCAGCUGGCCAUUGCUUGCGGCGUCUCCGAGCUCGACCUCAACUCGAUGCCUGCCUGUGA
RNAcentral lists this ribosomal RNA (729 nucleotides) under Triticum aestivum (bread wheat). RNAcentral's name for it is "partial small subunit ribosomal RNA". Lineage: Eukaryota; Viridiplantae; Streptophyta; Magnoliopsida; Poales; Poaceae. The record is from RNAcentral.